Molecule: microRNA precursor, 76 nt
Filed under: Nomascus leucogenys (northern white-cheeked gibbon)
Lineage: Eukaryota; Metazoa; Chordata; Mammalia; Primates; Hylobatidae
Description: miRNA (ENSNLEG00000031638.1)
Source: RNAcentral
AGGUGGGAGGAUCGCUUGAACUUGGGAGAUGGAGGUUGCAGUGAGCUGAGAUCAUGCCACUGCACUCCAGCCUGGG